UGGGGAAUAUUGGACAAUGGGGGCAACCCUGAUCCAGCCAUGCCGCGUGAGUGAUGAAGGCCUUCGGGUUGUAAAGCUCUUUUGGCGGGGACGAUGAUGACGGUACCCGCAGAAUAAGCCCCGGCUAACUUCGUGCCAGCAGCCGCGGUAAGACGAAGGGGGCUAGCGUUGUUCGGAAUUACUGGGCGUAAAGCGAGUGUAGGCGGUUGCCGUAGUCAGGUGUGAAAGCCUUGAGCUCAACUCAAGAAAUGCACUUGAUACUGGGUGACUAGAGGACCGGAGAGGAUAGUGGAAUUCCCAGUGUAGUGGUGAAAUACGUAGAGAUUGGGAAGAACACCAGUGGCGAAGGCGGCUAUCUGGACGGUUACUGACGCUAAGACUCGAAAGCGUGGGGAGCAAAACGGGAUUAGAUACCCUGGUAGUCCACGCCGUAAAACGAUGGGUGCUAGACGUUGGCGAGCUUGCUCGUCAGUGUCGCAGCUAACGCGUUAAGCACCCCGCCUGGGGAGUACGGCCGCAAGGUUGAAACUCAAAAGGAAUUGACGGGGGUCAUAGCUGUUUCCU
RNAcentral lists this ribosomal RNA (564 nucleotides) under uncultured bacterium. RNAcentral's name for it is "partial 16S ribosomal RNA". It matches the Rfam family "Bacterial small subunit ribosomal RNA", at positions 355 to 938 of the family's 1533-position model. The record is from RNAcentral.